UCUGCCAGUAGUAAGAUGUAAAUGUUGAUUUCAAAUAAUAACUUGCUUUUUUAUUUAGUAUGCUCUCUACAUCGCCACUGGAAGAGCAUUUGAUUUCAGUCAGGAAGACAUGCCACAGAUUAGAAGAUGGUGGUGUCUUCUCUUACUUCGCAAAGCCAGCAUUAAAGCCAAGACUUCGGUCUUCACUUUCCACACGAGAAGAAGGACAUUCAGUGUACCACAGGUAGUGCUUCGUAAUUAUCAGUUGAAAAGUUUUCUGACACUAAUUUUAAAUAUUAGAACUUCACAAAAAGACUUUGAACAACUGGUCACACAGCAGGUCUCCGGUGAGGCCGUCACUGACUUGUGUCUCUCGUCAGCCCUGUGGUGUGUCAGUGGCAUUAUGGGGGCAGAGAAUGGUGGUCUUAAAAAUGAGGGUUUUGUGUGCUUGUGCUCUAACUGAUUUAUUAAAUGGCAAUUAUUUCUGCUUCCAGCAAUUCCAGACAAGAUAGGAAAGAGCAAGGACUUUCUCCCCCACCCUUCUUCUCCAUUACUAAAGAAUAUGAAAAUGUUGACUGAAUUAUUUAUGCCAGUGCAAUCAUAUUUAGCAUAUUUAUGGUUACAUUUAGUUGUUAGCAAAUUGUACCUCACAAAGGCACAGCCAGUCCUGUCAGGUAUGUAGUGAAAUGACUCUUAUGGCACAGCCAAUGCCUUAAAGGUGAUGACUUUCUUUUUCCUUUUCAAUAUCAUUCAGAAAUCAACCAGUCUAGAAUGGAGUGAUUGUUUGCUUCAGGCAGUAGAGACAAAAAGCGAGAGAAAUCAAUUGAGCUGAGCAUUCCUACGACAUGCUGUGAUCAUAUUGUCUUCAUUGAUCCAAAACAUCCUGGCUGCUUGUGACUGGCUGGAUGCCAACAAAGACCAACUUGUUGGGACAGAAUUCUGGAAAUGGACGAGGAUGAAGUUACAAACACAAUUGAAAAAUUAGAACAAAGGGGAGACGAUGAUGAGACUGAAGUAGUCAUGUCCACCUUCUUAUUUACUUUUGAAUGCCUGAAAGACAUGAACUUUUUU
Polypterus senegalus (gray bichir) is the source of this 1050-nucleotide long non-coding RNA. RefSeq lists it as uncharacterized. The transcript has 5 exons. The record is from RefSeq and is a predicted model, not a curated record. NCBI's taxonomy places the organism in Eukaryota, Metazoa, Chordata, Cladistia, Polypteriformes, Polypteridae.